UACCGCAUACGAUCGUACGGAUAGAAAGGCGGGGGAUCGCAAGACCUCGCGCGUCUGGAGCGGCUGAUGGCAGAUUAGGUAGUUGGUGGGAAUAAAAGCCUACCAAGCCAACGAUCUGUAGCUGGUCUGAGAGGAUGAUCAGCCACACUGGGACUGAGACACGGCCCAGACUCCUACGGGAGGCAGCAGGUGGGGUAAUUUUGGACAAUGGGCGAAAGCCUGAUCCAGCCAUUCCGCGUGCAGGAUGAACGGCCCUCGGGUUGUAAACUGUCUUUUGUACAGAACGAAAAAGCUCUGGCUAAUACCUGGAGUCCAUGACGGUACUGUAAGAAUAAGCACCGGCUAACUACGUG
This 353-nucleotide ribosomal RNA is filed under the name uncultured bacterium. RNAcentral's name for it is "bacterial SSU rRNA". It matches the Rfam family "Bacterial small subunit ribosomal RNA", at positions 167 to 507 of the family's 1533-position model. The record is from RNAcentral.